This 465-nucleotide ribosomal RNA is filed under the name Vreelandella stevensii. RNAcentral describes it as "partial 16S ribosomal RNA". It matches the Rfam family "Bacterial small subunit ribosomal RNA", at positions 338 to 795 of the family's 1533-position model. The record is from RNAcentral. Lineage: Bacteria; Pseudomonadati; Pseudomonadota; Gammaproteobacteria; Oceanospirillales; Halomonadaceae.
CCUACGGGUGGCAGCAGUGGGGAAUAUUGGACAAUGGGCGAAAGCCUGACCCAGCCAUGCCGCGUGUGUGAAGAAGGCCUUCGGGUUGUAAAGCACUUUCAGUGGGGAAGAAAGCCUUGGGGCUAAUACCCUCGAGGAAGGACAUCACCCACAGAAGAAGCACCGGCUAACUCCGUGCCAGCAGCCGCGGUAAUACGGAGGGUGCGAGCGUUAAUCGGAAUUACUGGGCGUAAAGCGCGCGUAGGCGGUCUGAUAAGCCGGUUGUGAAAGCCCCGGGCUCAACCUGGGAACGGCAUCCGGAACUGUCAGGCUAGAGUGCAGGAGAGGAAGGUAGAAUUCCCGGUGUAGCGGUGAAAUGCGUAGAGAUCGGGAGGAAUACCAGUGGCGAAGGCGGCCUUCUGGACUGACACUGACGCUGAGGUGCGAAAGCGUGGGUAGCAAACAGGAUUAGAUACCCCAGUAGUC